AAAGUCGUAACAAGGUUUCCGUAGGUGAACCUGCGGAAGGAUCAUUAACACGUAUCCAACGUUAAACAACCCUGUGAACCUUCAUUCCUGCUCUCCUUGUCCCUUGAUAAAGCAAUCCCUGGUAAAUCACGCGAGCAGUUUGAUUCAGGGACCUCUUUUGAUACGCACUUGGAUUCGAUGCGGCGUCGUAAUUUAGACUUGGUUUCUGGAAGGCUAUCAACGAGUAAAAUCGUUGACUGACGAUAAAGGAUGCUGCCUAACAAGCAGAUCACUGAUCCUCACGGUCAGCGGACAAGUCUCUGGGCUUCGGCCCCCCAUAUUAACCCAGUUCUCAAUUCGGAGGAUGCGGAAACGCUCCUCAUAAAAACGAACAACUGUUAACAAUGGAUAUCUUGGUUCUC
Molecule: unclassified non-coding RNA, 401 nt
Filed under: Basidiomycota sp.
Lineage: Eukaryota; Fungi; Basidiomycota
Description: partial contains small subunit ribosomal RNA, internal transcribed spacer 1, and 5.8S ribosomal RNA
Rfam family: Eukaryotic small subunit ribosomal RNA (bases 1-47)
Source: RNAcentral